Molecule: ribosomal RNA, 325 nt
Filed under: uncultured eukaryote
Lineage: Eukaryota
Description: partial 18S ribosomal RNA
Rfam family: Eukaryotic small subunit ribosomal RNA
Source: RNAcentral
CCCUUAGAUGUUCUGGGCCGCACGCGCGCUACACUGAUGCAUUCAACGAGCCUAUCCUUGACCGACAGGUCCGGGUAAUCUUUGAAUCUGCAUCGUGACGGGGAUAGAUUAUUGCAAUUAUUAAUCUUCAACGAGGAAUGCCUAGUAGGCGCAAGUCAUCAGCUUGCGUCGAUUACGUCCCUGCCCUUUGUACACACCGCCCGUCGCUCCUACCGAUUGGGUGUGCUGGUGAAAUGUUCGGAUCGGCCGUUUGUCGCGGUUUCCGCGUCAUGUGGCUGAGAAGUUCAUAAAACCCUCCCACCGAGAGGAAGGAGAAGUCGUAACA